Molecule: non-coding RNA, 497 nt
Organism: Leptonychotes weddellii (Weddell seal)
Lineage: Eukaryota; Metazoa; Chordata; Mammalia; Carnivora; Phocidae
Source: RefSeq, a predicted model, not a curated record
CGUCGCCUUUCCCCAUUUGCCACGUGACCAGGGCGUAACGGGUAACACAGCUGGGCGCGUAGCGCGCAGGCGCUCUCUUCCCUCCCCUGCACGUGAUGAGGCACAAGGGCCCAUCACGUGAGUCAGGGGGAGAGCGGUGAGGACCAAAGUACGACUGCAGACUGGGCAGGAUUCAAUGGGGUCGAACAGCCAUGCCCAAGUACUGCCGGGCUUCGAACUGCUCCAACACUUCGGGCCGACCGGGCGCUGACAACGGCCCUGUGAGCUUCUACAAGCUGUCCUAAACUUCGCCAUUUGGAGUUAUAUCAGGAAAAAUGAAACAUCUCACUUAAUGCCUGGAGGAGUUGUCACUUUGACGCUGAGAAGCAACCUCAGUCGCUUCUGUCCAGGUGCAGAGCUUCAGCCCUCAAACAGGACCUGGCAUAGGGGCGCCUAAGUGGCUCAGUCGUUAAGUGUCUGCCUUCGGCUCAGGUCAUGAUCCCAGGGUCCUGGGAUCG